Molecule: ribosomal RNA, 253 nt
Filed under: uncultured bacterium
Lineage: Bacteria
Description: partial 16S ribosomal RNA
Rfam family: Bacterial small subunit ribosomal RNA
Source: RNAcentral
UACGUAGGGUGCGAGCGUUGUCCGGAAUUAUUGGGCGUAAAGGGCUCGUAGGCGGUUUGUCGCGUCGGGAGUGAAAUCCACUGGCUUAACUGGUGGCUUGCUUUCGAUACGGGCAGACUGGAGGUAUGCAGGGGAGAACGGAAUUCCUGGUGUAGCGGUGAAAUGCGCAGAUAUCGGGAGGAACACCAGUAGCGAAGGCGGCUCGCUGGGCCACACCUGACGCUGAGACGCGAAAGCUAGGGGAGCGAACAGG